This 65-nucleotide transfer RNA is filed under the name Mactra quadrangularis. RNAcentral's name for it is "tRNA-Ser". The record is from RNAcentral. Lineage: Eukaryota; Metazoa; Mollusca; Bivalvia; Venerida; Mactridae.
GAGAAGUAUAGGUUGAGUUUGGACUUCUAAUUUAGAUUCGGGUGGUUCGUACCAUUCACUUCUCU